Molecule: long non-coding RNA, 752 nt
Filed under: Erythranthe guttata (spotted monkey flower)
Lineage: Eukaryota; Viridiplantae; Streptophyta; Magnoliopsida; Lamiales; Phrymaceae
Description: long non-coding RNA (EGUT_LNC002874)
Source: RNAcentral
UUCUUGUCUUUUUUUCUUUGGAAUAAAUCUUCUCAUUAUGUUCAUUAAUGGAAGAUUUCCAAACAUAAAUAGGCAAAGCUUCGCACAUCAACAAAAUCAUUGGUUUCAAUUUCCUCCAUCUUCAAAAAGAAAUUAGUGUUUCUGCAACUUUAUAGCAAUGGCGGUGGAUAUGCUUCCUGUUGAAAAAGAAUGGCAACAGAGAUGGUGUACGCUGUUGGCGGUGGGCUGCUGAAAAAUAAUGGCGGCGGAGAUGGUGGGUGGUGCCGUGGUGGGCUGCUGAGCAAAGAUGGUGGCGUAGAUGGGUUGGGCGGUUGGUGGUGGAUUGCUGAGCAAAUAUGGCGGCGGAGAUGGGUUGGGCGAUGGGUGGUGGGCUAUUAGGCAAAGAUGGCGGCGAAGAUGACUCGGGCGGCGGGUGCUGGGCUGUUGAGCAAAUAUGGCGGCGGAGAAGAUCUGGGAGGUGGUGGUGGAGGCUGGUCCCGUGAAAGAUGAACUUUUUUUUCUUUAAUUAAGUUUUGGAAAUUGCAAUUUAACCACUUUAAGUUUUCAUAAAUUCAAUUUGGUCCCUGAGUUGUAAAAAUUACUCAUUGAAGGACUGGGUCUUUUGUUUUUGCAAAACCCUCGCUGGGUAUUUUGUCUUUUCACAGCUAGUCAAUGGUUAAAAGUUAAAUGGGUCAAGUAUGCAACCUAAAAAUUAGCACAGGGGGGUUUUUGCUAAUUUUAUUAUGAUAGGGGGGGAUUGCGCAGAUGCAAUU